Long non-coding RNA from Nothobranchius furzeri (turquoise killifish), 6638 nucleotides. RefSeq lists it as uncharacterized. The record is from RefSeq and is a predicted model, not a curated record. NCBI's taxonomy places the organism in Eukaryota, Metazoa, Chordata, Actinopteri, Cyprinodontiformes, Nothobranchiidae.
UAUGUGUCAACCAUAAUUAACUCUCCCAUUGUUGCUCCACUUUGCUGAUUUUGCCAGGCAGCGAGGAACUGAAACCGCAGCACCCUGCUUGGCUGCUGUGAAGAGGCCAUCAACACGUUAGUUUGUUCAGUGGUUUAUUCGGUCUUCAGCUCCCUCAGAGUGGCUGCAAUCAGCGAAGCACCCGGCUGAGCGAGCGCCUGGCUGAUCACACAGCUGCUGCACCUCUCAACAUGUUCAUUUCCCGAGUCUGUUGGGGUUACGUGGAGACAGAUCUAUCCCCUCAGACCUGUCAGUGCGAUAGAGGAUACGGAUCUUACAACUCAUCAAAGAACACCACUGGUGUGAGAGGUUCUCUGCCUACUAAUAUCGGAGGAGGAGAAACAGCAGGCUGCUACCACUUCAACUUUAGGACAAAAAAAAACACCAUUUGAAGUUUAUUUUGGCUACUCGGGUUUCCGGUUCCGGCAGAAGCAUCUCAGGAAAGGCAACAAAGGGGAGGGAGUCAGGUCGCUCGGGCAGCAGCCUAACCUCUUGGGCCAGCUCCUUCGGGGAAUCGUAAGGCGAUCUUCCAGGCCAGAACGAGAAACACAGUCCCUCCUGGGUGUCCUGGGUCUUCCUUUAUGUCUCCUCUGAGUUAGAUGUGCCCGGAAAACCUCACCAGGGAAGCGUCCAGGAGACAUAUGCUCGAGCCAACUCAUCUGGCUCCUCUGGAUAUGGUGGAGGAGUGGGAUGCCUCCCACCUCCCGCCUUCCCGGGAGGAUGCCAUGCCUGGCAGCUCCACACAUUUGGACCUACCCAUGCUGACUCGCGACGGGAAAGGCUGUUGUUAGUUUAGCAACCAGGGAACAGCAGAGAACACACAAGCUAGUAGAAGCUAACUGUUAGCAUUAGCAGAACUCCUACAGGCUUGUGUUGUUUGUGGAGAUAAAACGUCAACAUUGCUAAGCAAACAAUCAGAGGUAGAGUUGUGUUGCUGUUAGCCAAUCAGAGGCGAGAUGUCCAAAUAUCAGGAAAUAAGACUCAUUACACAUCUGCCAUGUUCAGCUCAACUCUGAUCUGGCUCACUUCUAGUUCCUGAAACAGGUGCACCAGCACUUUUGUUCCCCCCAGAUUACAACCCUACAAGGUAUUUGUUCCUACUAGAGACUAAAAUAUGAGUAAAUCUGAUCUUUAAGGAUAUACAGUGAGUUAGUUUCCUAAAGAUAAAAUGUUUCUCAUCUUGAGCCUGUUCUAGUUGCACCUGAAAAAGCCAAAGUAUUCAUGUUAAACUGUUUUAUCAACAGUAUUAUAGUUUUUUAUUUCAUUUUAUACAUUUUUAUGUUAUCUGAGAAUACCUUGUUGUAGAAUUUACUGUAGGUAAAGUUUUAUUUUGAAUGUCUUUAAAACUGUACACGUUUACACCAAAGAAAACCUUUUUACUUUGUUCCAUCAAAGCACCAAGAAUGAACCGAACUGUGAUUAUAAGUGUUCCCUUACAACCCUAGUAACAGUUAAUUCAAAUGUUAGAGGAUUCAAAAAUGUCAUGAACACAUUUUCUCUGAUUUGAAAGUAAAUACUGUGCCAGCAAGUAUAGACGACUCCCUUUCGCAAGGGCUGGUAUCCAGCAUGUUUUAGUUGUUUCCCUGCUUCGACACACCUGAUUUUAAACAGCAGGUGAUUAACAGGCUUCUGCAGAACUUCAUGAGCUACUGAACAAGUGAAUCAAGUGUGUUGGAGCAGGGUAACACCUGGAUGGCGGUCCUCGGGGAUAGGAGUCUCCCACCCUUGCUAUCACGUAAGCAGCUGCAGAACAGCUGAAAUGAUUCUAACUUUUAACUUUUAAGCAGUUCUGGCCAAAAACUCAGGCACACACACCUUCAUGUAAUGCAACAGAAUUAUGGGCUUUUCCUGAGAGACUCCAGAGGAAUGAUGCUAAUGUGUUUGCUCACCUCAGUCCACAGAGCUCAGCCAGCAGAACUAACUCUGUUCCUCGGGAGUGUUUGGCACAGAAACGCUGAAUGUGACUAAUGUUCGAAGUGAGUGGGUGUGUGUAAGUUGUGGCUUGUGAGGCAGCAGCCACGAUGCCUUGUGACAGCUUGUUAGGACAUCACACAGGCCUGGCAGAAAGGGUUGUGCAUGAAAACCUCUGAGAGAGACGCAUGCACGUGCACACACACAUGCACAUGCACACACACACCAAAUCCCUUAAAUGGUGUCUUUAUUUAAACUACUGAGCAAACCACACAUUUCAGUCUACAAAAAUCAACCUUAAAUUGUACAAAACUGAAAGAGGAUUAUGACCUAUGUGAAGCUAAAACAUUUUAACGUCUGAUCCAUGAGUCACAUUCCAGCGCCACACUAUGUGUGUGUGUAUGCAUGUGUGUGUGGGUUAAAUACAGUGAACCCAAGACAAAUCUGAUGCAGAGCUUCAUGUAUAGAGGUACAAGUGGUGCAAAAAUGGUGCGUGUGAUCAUCAUGAGAAAAAUCCAGAACACUCCCAUCUUUCACUGGCACAAAACAGGCAUUACGAUUUCCCCCCAGUUGAUCCAAAACAAUACUUGUGCUUAUUUUUGUCACCGACAGACCCAAAACGACCGUUACUCCACAGAUUCUUCAGGGGCAGGGGCACAGAUUCUGUUCAAUAUAAAGUCAUAAAAUAUAAAAGUCAUGCUUUCAUCACUUUUGCUUCACUUAGUUCAGAAUAUUUGGAGCAUUACUAAUUCAAACACCAGGAUAAAACAUCUUUUUUUUCUUUAAAGGAACAAUAAGUAAGAAUGUUACAGGGACGUAAUCACAGAACAGGAACAGGAAGGAAGGUUGCAUUGAAACAGAUUGCUGGGGGGGGGUCAUUAAUUUUUCUCCCUUUAAAAACUUUGAAAGAGGACGCAGUCAUUGUUUACAAUCUGUGAGCCCACCGGUUUGCCAAAGUCUGCGUCGGGCCAACGCCGGAGCAGCAGUGUUUAAUUCAAAGCUCCAGAGUUGUUUAAAGUGGCAGUGUGUAUUUUUACCAUCAAGCUCUGGAAAUAUUCAACGAACUGCUGUUGAAAAUGAAAAUGAAUAAAAUGAUGUCCAGUUGUUAUAAAAUAUUGGAGACUUUGUAACAUAUAACCAUAAAAAUUGGGUCUAAAGUACUUAGGGUGCAGGUCUAGCAUCUUUGGGUGAUGCCAUAUUAGAUGCCAUGUUUCCUUCUGGCAUCGCACUAGAUGAAUGGCUGGAUGUACAACUUAGUACGUAGUUACGUUACCAUGAUCAAAAACAUUUAGGUAGUAAGAAACACAAAUUUAAUAGCAAAACUGCUAAACUCUUUCCAAAACCUAUGUGAAGGACCAGAAUCAAAAAAGAGAAGCAAUGUAUUUAGGCUGAGCGGUAUUGCUGUAGUAUGAUGAUGUCAUCGGCAGGCGCAGGACCCCGAGCAGAUCCGAAAACUACAGCGCCAAAAAACUAGCAUCAGCAUUGCACUCUCUUGAUGGAAUUAACUGAAGGGCCAUUAAAGUCUGAGGAAUCGUGCUGCGGUUGCAUGCUUUCUGCUUCACAGGUAACAACAUCUACGGUCAUGUUUCUAAAACUAGCAGCAGUCAACAGUGGGUGGUUUUUUUCUGUACCCACCGUGUUACCUCUGGAGCAACAACACGGGGUAAGUUCAUUUAUAGACACUUCCAACCAGUUUUCUGCUCCACAAACAAAAAGUCCACAAUCAUAGUGAAAAAACACACAAACCACAAGACAGCUAUAAAUACUCAUGCAGAAGAACAGAAAUCCAAACAUGUCUCACAGCAGCAGGAGAUGCAGAAGCUGGCCUAGUGAACAAUUAGCUCUUUCACAGCUCCUCCUCCCUGCAGGAGGCCUGCAGAAAUCUUUAGGUUUCUCCUUCGAUCCCUGACGCAGCAGAUGGGUACGUCUACUUCUGACACUCUGCUUAUCAUGUUUUUUUUCUCUCUCUCUCUCAAACAAACGUUUUUGCUGAAGUCCCUUAAUCUUCUGCACAGAAUGAAGGGAGCUGAGGUUUCACCACAGCUGUGCUCUACAGAAAAGAAGUGAACUUAUGAACAUUUGAAGUCCAGAGGUCGUUUGGACAAAUAUGCACAAACGCAUUUAUGAAGAUUUAGAGUUUUACCACAAAUGUUUAAUCUGUGCAUGAUGCUGACUGGAGCAAACAAUAGUUCUUCCUUCACACAGGUGAGGGAAGGUAGAAGGUUGGUUGACAAACUGAAAAGAUGCAUUUGUAACAUUGGCGAGACAUGUUUGAUCCUUCAGGAUCCUAAAACGUCUUUAUUCUCCUUCUACACUGCAGCUUACUCCCUGUGUGUUGGUUCUAAACCAUCAUCAGCUGACUUCUGCUGUAGCUACGCUUCAGGACCAAAGGCCAGCCUCAGCACCGCUCCCUGCUGACUGGGUCAUCGUCAGCAUGCUGCAGUCACCCAGACACAAUCUAGCUGCUGUAGAGAACCUCGUCUGGAUGACACACCAAGGACUCAGCCUUCUCUCAGAAAACGGUUUCAUGAGCAACAUCAUCUUUUAACAUGACAUGUGAGUGUGUGUGUGAACAGCUGGUGCUCCCACUCACCGGCUGUUUCACUGCAGGAUGUUUUCUGAUAACAAACUGGCCCUCCUCCCAAUUAGACGAGACUGCUACAGUCUUUCAAAGAGAGGAAGCAAGCUUUACCCCCCGCCGCCCUCUGGAGACCACCUACAGUCACUGCGGCUAGCAUUUAUGUUUAUUAGUGAUGGAAUUUUACCCACAUUAGGCAUUUUUGGGAGGGGGGGGGGGGUAUGUACGUUGCUGAUGUUCAUUUAAGAUGCGGCGCUACAAACCGGUUGGGGUGGAGUCAUGGGACCUUGUGACUCCACCCCAUCCAGCCUGUAACAAGAAGGGAAAGACAGUGAGGAUUAGGAAUGGGUACCGAAUUCUGUACUUUUUAAGGUGCCGACCGAAUUCCACAGUACCGACCGAGCACCGAUUCACUUCAUUUGAAACGGAGCCUCGUUUCGGUACCCGUCCUUCACAACGAGAACUUGCCAAGACAGCUGCGCAUGCGCAACAGCCUUACGUCAUCGGUCGAUGCGAGCCAGUUGUAAACAGAGCAACAUGGGAGAAAGAACGAACGCUAAAGCUUGGGUCUACUUCACUAAAUGUGAUGGGUAACUGGGUGAUGAUGAAACCAGCGACAACGAUCUAAGUGAGACAUCCUCAUCUUAAUCUGCUCCGGUAGGUAAAUAAAAUGUUUAAGAUAACAUUAGCUUGAUUUGUUAGUUUCCGUUUCGCUAAUGGUGCGUUCGCUUUCUUCUCGGAACUCCCGAAAUUCUGACUAGAAGAACAUGAACGUGCUUUAAAGUUUGGCUUCACUUUACUAAAUGCGACGGGUGAUUGGGUGAAGACGAAACCAGUGACAACGAUCUAAGUGUGAGGCAUCAUAGUUUUAAUCUGCUCCAGCAGUUAAAUAAACUGUUUAAGAUAACGCUAGCUUGUUAUGUUAGCUUCCUAUGCCACCAUUGUUAUUAUCUAAUGGUGCGUUCGCUUUCUCCUCGGAAAUUCUAACUUCCCAGUAGGAAAAAUCAAAUGAAAAAGGACGGUAAAAGGAAUGAAGAUACACAGUAAAUUUAGUUCACAGUAAAGAUGUUUGCUUCAGUUUAAUUAUCAGCUUAUAAAACUACAAGGAUGAUGUUAAAAUACAAACAGUUGUAUGUUAUUAAUUGUGAUAUUUAUCAAAUAUGGUUAUAUAUUGAGAAAAAUAGAUAUUUAAUUAUAAAAGAGAAUUAAAAAUAUUAAACACUCAAAAGUAUCGAAAAUUGGUACCGUUAAGUACCGGUAUCGAUUCCUAGGUACCGGGAAUUAGUACCGGAUCGAUUCAAAUGUCAAAGGUACCCAUCCCUAGUGAGGACGAUUCAAAUAUUGAAAGGGUGGGCAACCGUGUAGUGUGUAGCAACCAUCGGAAGUGACUACAUUUAAAAAAGUUUUCCAAUUUCUAUUUUUGUGGGAAAAGACUCUUCAACCAAAUCUACCACUGUCACCAUUCCCUCUAACCGCAGCUGUGCUGUUGAAUAUCGUCCAUUUAUAGUUAUUGUGGUGAACUGCUCAACACACACUGUUGGGCCAAAAACAAAAAAAAGGUCACACACUAAUAUUUUGUUGCAACCACAUUUAGCUUUGAUUACAACACACAUUCACUGUGGCGUUGUUUCAAUAAGCUUCUGCAAAGAUUUAUUUCCAUCCACAACGAUCUUGCACUGAUAUCUGACCGCUGCACAAAGUCUUCUCCAGCACAUCCCAAACAUUCUCAAUGGGGUUAAGGUCUGGACUCUGUGAUGGCCAAUGCAUGUGUAAAAAUGAUCCCAUGCUCUCAGAACCCCUCUUUCACUAUCUGAGCCCGAUGAAUCCUGACAUUGUCAUCUUGGAAUAUGCCUGUGCCAUCAUCCUGGUCAUUCAGGAUACUCAGGUAGUCAGCUGACCUCAUUUUUGGAGCACAUCCUGUUUCUGAACCUAGACCUGACCACCUGCAGCAAGCCCAGAUCAUAGCACUGCCCCCACAGGCUUGUACAGUAGACACUAUGCAUGAAGGGCGCAUCACUUCAUCUGCCUCUCUUACCCUGAUGCACCAUCACUCUGGAACAGGAUCCAUCUGGACUCAUCAGACCCGUUUUUAAUAAAGCAUUGGACAGUU